AUUGAACGCUGGCGGCAUGCCUUACACAUGCAAGUCGAACGGCAGCACGGGUGCUUGCACCUGGUGGCGAGUGGCGAACGGGUGAGUAAUACAUCGGAACAUGUCCUGUAGUGGGGGAUAGCCCGGCGAAAGCCGGAUUAAUACCGCAUACGAACUACGGAUGAAAGCGGGGGACGUUCGGGCCUCGCGCUAUAGGGUUGGCCGAUGGCGGAUUAGCUAGUUGGUGGGGUAAAGGCCCACCAAGGCGACGAUCAGUAGAUGGUCUGAGAGGACGACCAGCCACACUGGAACUGAGACACGGCCCAGACUCCUACGGGAGGCAGCAGUGGGGAAUUUUGGACAAUGGGCGAAAGCCUGAUCCAGCAAUGCCGCGUGUGUGAAGAAGGCCUUCGGGUUGUAAAGCACUUUUGUCCGGAAAGAAAUGCUUGGCUCUAAUACAGUCGGGGGAUGACGGUACCGGAAGAAUAAGCACCGGCUAACUACGUG
RNAcentral lists this ribosomal RNA (486 nucleotides) under uncultured bacterium. RNAcentral's name for it is "partial 16S ribosomal RNA". It matches the Rfam family "Bacterial small subunit ribosomal RNA", at positions 29 to 507 of the family's 1533-position model. The record is from RNAcentral.